AUCAACAUUCUCUUUUGUGUUG
Molecule: small nuclear RNA, 22 nt
Filed under: Arabidopsis thaliana (thale cress)
Lineage: Eukaryota; Viridiplantae; Streptophyta; Magnoliopsida; Brassicales; Brassicaceae
Description: snRNA_09595
Source: RNAcentral